RNAcentral lists this transfer RNA (63 nucleotides) under Linognathus vituli. Its description in RNAcentral is "tRNA-Tyr". The record is from RNAcentral. Lineage: Eukaryota; Metazoa; Arthropoda; Insecta; Psocodea; Linognathidae.
AGAAUGAUGGCCGAAUUACAGGUGGAACAUUGUAAAUGUUUUGAUAGUAGAUACUUCAUUCUA